This is a long non-coding RNA of Gavialis gangeticus (Gharial), 786 nucleotides long. RefSeq lists it as uncharacterized. The record is from RefSeq and is a predicted model, not a curated record. The transcript is spliced from 3 exons. Lineage: Eukaryota; Metazoa; Chordata; Crocodylia; Gavialidae.
GGCAAGUGUGGAUGUGUGUGUGAUGGUCACACUCACCAAUUUUUUCCACUGCACUCCUAAUUUUGACAUGCAUUGAUUUACUGCCUCCAAUACAUCUUUUCUAGUUGUUGUAUCUUUUAUUGACUGCAUUGAUGCCAAUUCUUCUGUGAGCUCAACAUUUUCAGUAAUACCUGGAGUGAAAAUCAACAACUGGGUUGUGUCUUUGACAUCACAACUCUCAUCAAGUGCCAAUGCAAAAUAUGAGAAAUUGUUUGCCUUAUUUUUCAACCACUGGUCCAGGUUCUCAAAGAUAUCCUUGACAUGUCUCACAGUAGUUUGCCUUGACAAGCAAAUGUUCUCAUAAUGCUUAUUCUUGUCUGGGCAACAAAUUGCAGCAGAGUCAACCAUACAUUCCUAUACAAAUCCCCCUUCAGAGAAUGGUUUCCUCUUCUUGGUGAUUUUGUGUGCAAUCUCAUAAUUCAUUCUCAUAAUUCUAUCCUGUGCCAAUACUUUUGUGAAAAAAGAUUUGCUCUUUCUGCAUUCCAGAAACCAUCUUCUCAGCUUUCUUUGCUUUUUCUUUGGCAGACAAUUUUUCAUAUCUGAAUGCAUGCUUGGUCUCAAAAUGCCAAUUCAAAUUGUAUUCUUUGAAAAUUGCCACACUUUCUUUGCAAAUUAAACACACAGCUUUUCUACCUACAUUGGUAAAAAAAUAUUUAGAAGUCCAUUCUUUGUUGAAUAUUUGGUAUUCAGUGUUUACCUUCCUUUCUUUGAUGAGCUCAUUUCCAAACUUUUAUUCUCCCGUGCAGU